UACAGAGGGUGCAAGCGUUGUUCGGAAUUAUUGGGCGUAAAGCGCGUGUAGGCGGCUUUGCAAGUCGGGUGUGAAAGCCCUCAGCUCAACUGAGGAAGUGCGCCCGAAACUGCAGAGCUUGAGUGCCGGAGAGGGUGGCGGAAUUCCCCAAGUAGAGGUGAAAUUCGUAGAUAUGGGGAGGAACACCUGAGGCGAAGGCGGCUUGCUGGGCAUGAUCUGACGCUGAGGCGCGAAAGCGUGGGGAGCGAACAGG
Molecule: ribosomal RNA, 253 nt
Filed under: uncultured bacterium
Lineage: Bacteria
Description: partial 16S ribosomal RNA
Rfam family: Bacterial small subunit ribosomal RNA
Source: RNAcentral